This is a non-coding RNA of Phrynosoma platyrhinos (Desert horned lizard), 68 nucleotides long. NCBI's taxonomy places the organism in Eukaryota, Metazoa, Chordata, Lepidosauria, Squamata, Phrynosomatidae. The record is from the annotation of a GenBank genome assembly.
AGCAUGGUGUAGUGGUUUGAACAUUAGACUGCAACUCUGGAGAUCAGGGUUCGAUUCCCUCUCAGCCA